UCUACGGGUGGCUGCAGUGGGGAAUAUUGGGCAAUGGGCGCAAGUCUGACCCAGCAACGCCGCGUGAAGGAAGAAGGCUUUCGGGUUGUAAAGUUCUUUUAUUAGGGACGAAGCAAGUGACGGUACCUGAUGAAUAAGCCACGGCUAACUACGUGCCAGCAGCCGCGGUAAUACGUAGGUGGCAAGCGUUAUUCGGAUUUACUGGGUGUAAAGUGCGUGUAGGGGGGGGGGCAAGUCAGAUGUGAAAACUAUGGGCUCAACCCAUGGGCUGCAUUUAAAACUGUACUUCUUGAGUGCAGGAGAGGCAAGCGGAAUUCCGUGUGUAGCGGUGGAAUGCGUAGAUAUACGGAGGAACACCAGUGGCGAAGGCGAAUUGCUGGACAGUAACUGACGCUGAGGCACGAAAGCGUGGGGAGCAAACAGGAUUAGAUACCCGAGUAGUC
This 443-nucleotide ribosomal RNA is filed under the name uncultured bacterium. RNAcentral's name for it is "partial 16S ribosomal RNA". It matches the Rfam family "Bacterial small subunit ribosomal RNA", at positions 338 to 795 of the family's 1533-position model. The record is from RNAcentral.